UAGGGAAUCUUCGGCAAUGGGGGGAACCCUGACCGAGCAACGCCGCGUGAGUGAAGAAGGUUUUCGGAUCGUAAAGCUCUGUUGUUAAGGAAGAACGAGUGUGAGAAUGGAAAGUUCAUGCUGUGACGGUACUUAACCAGAAAGGGACGGCUAACUACGUGCCAGCAGCCGCGGUAAUACGUAGGUCCCGAGCGUUGUCCGGAUUUAUUGGGCGUAAAGCGAGCGCAGGCGGUUAGAAAAGUCUGAAGUGAAAGGCAGUGGCUCAACCAUUGUAGGCUUUGGAAACUGUUUAACUUGAGUGCAGAAGGGGAGAGUGGAAUUCCAUGUGUAGCGGUGAAAUGCGUAGAUAUAUGGGGGAACACCGGUGGCGAAAGCGGCUCUCUGGUCUGUAACUGACGCUGCGGCUCGAAAGCGUGGGGAGCGAACAGG
This 429-nucleotide ribosomal RNA is filed under the name Bacteroidota bacterium. Its description in RNAcentral is "Bacteroidetes bacterium partial 16S ribosomal RNA". It matches the Rfam family "Bacterial small subunit ribosomal RNA", at positions 355 to 776 of the family's 1533-position model. The record is from RNAcentral. Lineage: Bacteria; Pseudomonadati; Bacteroidota.